Molecule: ribosomal RNA, 326 nt
Filed under: uncultured Streptococcus sp.
Lineage: Bacteria; Bacillati; Bacillota; Bacilli; Lactobacillales; Streptococcaceae
Description: bacterial SSU rRNA
Rfam family: Bacterial small subunit ribosomal RNA
Source: RNAcentral
GCGAACGGGUGAGUAACGCGUAGGUAACCUGCCUUGUAGCGGGGGAUAACUAUUGGAAACGAUAGCUAAUACCGCAUAACAAUGGAUGACACAUGUCAUUUAUUUGAAAGGGGCAAUUGCUCCACUACAAGAUGGACCUGCGUUGUAUUAGCUAGUAGGUGAGGUAACGGCUCACCUAGGCGACGAUACAUAGCCGACCUGAGAGGGUGAUCGGCCACACUGGGACUGAGACACGGCCCAGACUCCUACGGGAGGCAGCAGUAGGGAAUCUUCGGCAAUGGGGGCAACCCUGACCGAGCAACGCCGCGUGAGUGAAGAAGGUUUUC